This 877-nucleotide long non-coding RNA is filed under the name Callithrix jacchus (white-tufted-ear marmoset). Its description in RNAcentral is "lncRNA (ENSCJAG00000084406.1)". Lineage: Eukaryota; Metazoa; Chordata; Mammalia; Primates; Cebidae. The record is from RNAcentral.
CAUAAUCUGUUGCUGAAAUUUGCAGUUAGAUGGUUUCCCACUCAAGUGGCUUGUGCCACAUCUACAUUAAAUUUGCAUCCGGCUUAGAUUUCUGUAUUAGAUGAUGCUUCUAAUUUGUGUUUUGGGUUAAGGUCCAGCUCCCAGUGUGUGCAGAGAGAGUGAUGAAUGAGGAGGCCGUGUUAUCAGAAGGCCGGGUGGGACAGAGUUCUGAUUGGAGAAACUGAAGUGUCACUGAGGAGAUGGAAAUCCUGCCUAAUCUAAGAGGUGGCACAGCAGAGAGGAAAAAGGAGAAUGACCGAUUCUCAUCUGCCCAUGGCUGUGCAAGGGAGAACUACAGCACUGGGCUCUCUGCGCCUGUGCUCUGAUUCCACGCUCGGUGUUCAACAGCAUCCUGUGGCCAUAUAACCACGAGCUUCCCAGAAUAAAAGCGCCUGGAUUCUGCUGUGUUUGACAAGCACAGGACAUGGAAAUGGAAGGCCUCAGCUUAUAUUCCAGUUCAGCCACUUCCUCAUGUGACCUUUGCUAAAUCAUUGCAUGUCUCUGUAUCAUAUAUUGCUCCUUCAAUAAUAUCAGACAAAACCAAACAGAAACUCCAGAAUUAAAGUGCAGUGAGUAAAAAUUAGGAAUAUUUGCAUUUCCCAAAACAGAAUGAUGCUAAUAGGAGCAAAACAAAUAACUAUUAGUGUUUUUAAGGAACUAAGAAUAAUAAUAAAUACUGUUCACUUUUGAUGUCAAUAUUAACCAUACAUAUAAAAUAGCAACGAGAUGUUUAUUUUUCUCAUGUAUAUAUCUUAUCAACUCAAAUCAUUUCCUUUGACAUUGAUCCUCUCUCACAAUCUGGUCCUACUCACAUGAUUUUACUUAAUUUUUUGUCUUU